This 245-nucleotide ribosomal RNA is filed under the name uncultured bacterium. Its description in RNAcentral is "partial 16S ribosomal RNA". It matches the Rfam family "Bacterial small subunit ribosomal RNA", at positions 524 to 776 of the family's 1533-position model. The record is from RNAcentral.
UACGGAGGGAGCUAGUGUUACUCGUCGUAAUGGGCGUAAAGGGAGCGUAGGUGCUUUGUAAGUAUUAGGUAAAAGACUGGUAAUUAGAAUCUUAACUGCUUUUAAACUGCAAAGCUUGAGUUCCACGCAAGAUGAUGGAGCACUGUGGAGAUGUGAAAUGCGACGAUACUGUGUUGACGACAUUGCGAAAGCGAUCAUCAGCUGGAUAACUGACGCUGAGGCUCUAGAGCUGGGGAGCAAAAAGG